RNAcentral lists this non-coding RNA (28 nucleotides) under Rattus norvegicus (Norway rat). The record is from RNAcentral. Lineage: Eukaryota; Metazoa; Chordata; Mammalia; Rodentia; Muridae.
UAGAACACGUCUCUCCCUUCAUCUGAUC